This 117-nucleotide ribosomal RNA is filed under the name Polyangiaceae bacterium. Lineage: Bacteria; Pseudomonadati; Myxococcota; Polyangiales; Polyangiaceae. The record is from RNAcentral.
UCCGGUGGUGUUAUCGCGAAGGUUCCACCCGAUCCCAUUCCGAACUCGGAAGUUAAGCUUCGCAGAGCCGAUGGUACUGCCAGGGCGACUUGGUGGGAGAGUAGGUCGCUGCCGGGA